Molecule: ribosomal RNA, 201 nt
Filed under: uncultured bacterium
Lineage: Bacteria
Description: partial 16S ribosomal RNA
Rfam family: Bacterial small subunit ribosomal RNA
Source: RNAcentral
UACGUAGGGUGCGAGCGUUAAUCGGAAUUACUGGGCGUAAAGCGUGCGCAGGCGGUUAGCCGUGUCCGAUGUGAAAGCCCCGGGCUCAACCUGGGAAUGGCAUUGGAAACUGGCUGGCUGGAGUGUGGCAGAGGGGGGGUGGAAUUCCACGGUGUAGCAGUGAAAUGCGUAGAGAUCGGGAGGAACAUCAGUUGCGAAGGC